AAGUCGAGCGAACAGACGAGGAGCUUGCUCCUCUGACGUUAGCGGCGGACGGGUGAGUAACACGUGGAUAACCUACCUAUAAGACUGGGAUAACUUCGGGAAACCGGAGCUAAUACCGGAUAAUAUAUUGAACCGCAUGGUUCAAUAGUGAAAGACGGUUUUGCUGUCACUUAUAGAUGGAUCCGCGCCGCAUUAGCUAGUUGGUAGGGUAACGGCUUACCAAGGCGACGAUGCGUAGCCGACCUGAGAGGGUGAUCGGCCACACUGGAACUGAGACACGGUCCAGACUCCUACGGGAGGCAGCAGUAGGGAAUCUUCCGCAAUGGGCGAAAGCCUGACGGAGCAACGCCGCGUGAGUGAUGAAGGUCUUCGGAUCGUAAAACUCUGUUAUUAGGGAAGAACAAAUGUGUAAGUAACUAUGCACGUCUUGACGGUACCUAAUCAGAAAGCCACGGCUAACUACGUGCCAGCAGCCGCGGUAAUACGUAGGUGGCAAGCGUUAUCCGGAAUUAUUGGGCGUAAAGCGCGCGUAGGCGGUUUUUUAAGUCUGAUGUGAAAGCCCACGGCUCAACCGUGGAGGGUCAUUGGAAACUGGAAAACUUGAGUGCAGAAGAGGAAAGUGGAAUUCCAUGUGUAGCGGUGAAAUGCGCAGAGAUAUGGAGGAACACCAGUGGCGAAGGCGACUUUCUGGUCUGUAACUGACGCUGAUGUGCGAAAGCGUGGGGAUCAAACA
This 733-nucleotide ribosomal RNA is filed under the name uncultured Staphylococcus sp. RNAcentral's name for it is "bacterial SSU rRNA". It matches the Rfam family "Bacterial small subunit ribosomal RNA", at positions 59 to 774 of the family's 1533-position model. Lineage: Bacteria; Bacillati; Bacillota; Bacilli; Caryophanales; Staphylococcaceae. The record is from RNAcentral.